AGAGUUUGAUCCUGGCUCAGGACGACCGCUGGCGGCGUGCUUAACACAUGCAAGUCGAACGAUGAUGCUUGGUGCUUGCACUGGGUGGAUUAGUGGCGAACGGGUGAGUAAUACGUGAGUAACCUGCCCCUGUCUUUGGGAUAAGCCUGGGAAACUGGGUCUAAUACUGGAUAUUCUGCUUGAACCGCAUGGUUUUUGUUGGAAAUAUUUUUCGGAUGGGGAUGGGCUCACGGCCUAUCAGCUUGUUGGUGGGGUGAUGGCCUACCAAGGCGUCGACGGGUAGCCGGCCUGAGAGGGUGACCGGCCACAUUGGGACUGAGAUACGGCCCACACUCCUACGGGAGGCAGCAGUGGGGAAUAUUGCGCAAUGGACGCAAGUCUGAUGCAGCGACGCCGCGUGGGGGAUGAAGGCUUUCGGGUUGUAAACUCCUUUCAGUACAGAAGAAGCGAAAGUGACGGUAUGUGCAGAAGAAGCACCGGCUAACUACGUGCCAGCAGCCGCGGUAAUACGGAGGAUGCAAGCGUUAUCCGGAUUUACUGGGUUUAAAGGGUGCGCAGGCGGAACGACAAGUCAGUGGUGAAAUCUCCUGGCUCAACCAGGAAACUGCCAUUGAUACUAUCGUUCUUGAGUCCAGUUGAAGUAGGCGGAAUGUAGCAUGUAGCGGUGAAAUGCUUAGAUAUGCUACAGAACACCGAUAGCGAAGGCAGCUUACUAAACUGAAACUGACGCUCAUGCACGAAAGCGUGGGGAUCAAAAAGGAUUAGAUACCCUGGUAGUCCACGCCCUAAACGAUGAUCACUCGUUGUUGGCAACUAUAUCGUCAGCGACUAAGCGAAAGCAUUAAGUGAUCCACCUGGGGAGUACGAUCGCAAGGUUGAAACUCAAAGGAAUUGACGGGGGCCCGCACAAGCGGAGGAGCAUGUGGUUUAAUUCGAUGAUACGCGAGGAACCUUACCUGGGCUAGAACGCAGAACGACGUUUCGGGAAACCGGAAUUCUCUUCGGAGCGAUCUGCGAGGUGCUGCAUGGUUGUCGUCAGCUCGUGCCGUGAGGUGUCGGGUUAAGUCCCAUAACGAGCGCAACCCCUAUUCUUAGUUGCCAUCAGGUAAUGCUGGGGACUCUAAGAAAACUGCCUACGCAAGUAGUGAGGAAGGUGGGGAUGACGUCAAAUCAGCACGGCCCUUAUGUCCAGGGCUACACACGUGCUACAAUGGCCGGUACAGAGGGCAGCCACCUGGUGACAGGGAGCAAAUCUCCAAAGCCGGUCUCAGUUCGGAUCGAAGUCUGCAACUCGACUUCGUGAAGUUGGAUUCGCUAGUAAUCGUAUAUCAGCAACGAUACGGUGAAUACGUUCCCGGGCCUUGUACACACCGCCCGUCAAG
This 1382-nucleotide ribosomal RNA is filed under the name uncultured bacterium. RNAcentral's name for it is "bacterial SSU rRNA". It matches the Rfam family "Bacterial small subunit ribosomal RNA". The record is from RNAcentral.